AGCAGAAGAGGCUUCGCCCUCUGAGCGAGCUUAGAACUCCGCUGGGUGGCUUUUUGUGGUUGCAAGGCUGGGGCUGUCACCAGGGAGUCCACAAAGCACUCCACCACUGAGCUACAUCUGCAGCCCUGCGCUGGGUGCUUUUAAAGCUUUAGCAGAGUCUUUGGACUUGAUCAGAAGAACAAUGGUGGCAGUAGGGCCUGGAGCGUUAUAUUAUGCAGUUACUACAGGAAGAAUCUGUUACUCCUCUAGAGGUGUGGACAGAGAAGGAAGAGAAAAGGAAGGAAAAAAAAGAAGCGUCUGAGAGCAUGGGGGGAAAGACCGUGGCCCAGACCUGGGGAAUAUGCCCGCUGACAGAGAGACUGAGAGAGCGAGUUCCCAUUUUUAAGUACGCUUGGCUGGAUGCAUAUCCCUCCAUGCUCCAUGCAAAGGCCGAGGUUGGGCAGCUAGCACUUUAGCCUUUCCCUAAGGGCGCUAAGUAGGAGACCCUGGAAGAUCAACCACGUAGGGACCAGGGAAGAUCACAGGGCAAGCUUAUAAAUCUGGACAAAUCAAGGAAGAAUUCAGGCUGGGGGCAGCAGGUGGGGCGGUGCACACUCCUAGUCCUAGCUCCUCAGGAGGCCACGGAGGGGACAGUCCCUGAAGAUGCCAGGCCUGCGGGUGUGGCUCAGCGUCUGCCUAGCACGCUGAGGCAGUGGGUUCCAAGAGCAACAUAACGACAAAGAAAAACAAAACAAAACACGGUGAGACUCGAAUCCAAAAUAAACAAACAAACGAGAAAAGGAAUUCAGGGCUCAAGCGAGGCUGGAAAGGUGAGGAGCCUGCAGAUCUAGGAGAGAAGGACGCUUUUCUGCAAACAGUUCUCUCGCCUGUCCUUCCAUGCUCCACUGGAAUGAGACCAACUGAUUGAUAAUGAAUCUCAUCCGCCAGCCCAAGUGGGGAUGAACCGAGGAGCAGGGGCCUGGCUGUGUGCAGGGGCCCAUGGAGGGCCUGGCUUGCUUGGUUGCCGUUCCCUACUCCAGCCUAGCAGCCUCCACCCUGGAGAACUUAGUGCUUCCACGGGCAGGGAGGGAAGAGACCCUGCCCAGCUCCUCUCUGUCCUCCAGCACCUCCGCAGCUUCUCACACUGGGCAGCCGGCUGGGAUAAGGAAUGCACGCUGUUGACUCCAGACUUCUCUCUGACUGAGUUGUCCGGGAUACCUAACUAAGCACUCUCCCAACUGUAAGAGAACAAAGAGCUGGACGUGCCGCAGGCCGUUCUUCUGGUUUUCUUGUUCCCUGGUCCUGUCCUCCACCAGCUCCCCAGCCAGGAUGGACCCCAGGAGCGAUAGCUUCCUGCUGUGAAAGCAGCCUCGGGGACCAGGGCGGUGGCGAUCUCAGGCCUCACAGGGUUGGCUCACUGCUUCAGCCACAGCUCGGAGGGCUGAGCUCAGGACGUUUGGGCAGGGACUGAGUUUUGACCUGGAGACCUCUGAAAUCUUAUCAAGGGGACCAGAAAACACAAAUGGAAAAAAAAAAAAAAAAUCAAUGAUCAAUGUAGUUUUUUGGUACUGGGAAUUGAACUCACGACCUCAUGCUUGCCAGGCAGGCACUGUGCUGCUGAGCUAUAUCUCUGGCCAAUGUAGGUUUUUUUGAGUUCAGAAGUGAAUCUUGGGCUCUACCAGAGGCAAGACAUGGGUAAGCUUUCGAGCAAUUUACUUUGGUCUGGGAAAACCAGUGCAAGGGCUCAUUUCAUUAUGUAAAUGUAAAUACGUGGUGGCUCGAAGAGAAGUGUGAGCUGGGACAAGGUGAGCAGGUGUGUCCAUGUUGGAGUCAUAUAGAUCUCUGCUGUUUCCUGAGGGAAACCUGGGUUUUUCAAGAAAGGAUUUGGCCUAUGACAGGCUGACGCCCCACUGACUGCUUUUAGAGCUCACCUUAGAUGGAAGAACUGCUUUGACAGAGGCUUUAUGGGGACCCUGGGCAUGAGCAACAGAGAGUAGGGGAGAGUCUGUCCCUACGGACUGCUCUGAGAGUCCCAAGAAAGAUCCCCUUGGCUAGAAUAUUGCUGCUUCCAUGAUGGGCGCCUUCAGCAGUAAGACCCUUCUGCAUGGCUUCUUUACAGCCAAACAUUCACUGGGUGAUGCUCAGGUAUUUGUAGCAAGAGGGAGUGAAUAAAAUUUAUAGGUUCUAAGUUCUUGAAUAAAAAAAAAUUUUUUUACUAACCUCUGGAUGAAAUUUAGCAUUUCCCUGAACAAUGAUGUAAGCAAUAAAUUGCAGCAGUACCAGAACUUGUGACUUUGUCACCAAUAGAAAUCAUAGAUAUGACCUAUCAUUUUACAGUUGCUGUUAGUUUGAAAUGUUGUUUAUGCGCAUGACUGCUUCCACAUUAGACCUGCUGUUAGACCUGCUAGUAGAACCUGCAGGAUUAAAACAAAUUUCUAGUUGGGGCCAGGUGGUAGAGUUCUUUGCAGGUGGCUUGCACCGGUCCUGACUGAAUCCUGAAUCCUUGGCUUAGGCCAUCUGGAAGGAUGUGGGGUAAAUGACUGGGCAAAGCAGAAGCUUCCUUCAUGGGGUUUCCAACUAAUGCACGGGUCUUGAACACAACUCAUUUUACCAGUGGAAACUAAUAUCGAAUGCUCUAUGCUAAUGAAUAAGCCCUCCGGUAUUAAUAUGAAAUAAAGAUAGUUGAAGUCAUGGUGGUA
Long non-coding RNA from Chinchilla lanigera (long-tailed chinchilla), 2678 nucleotides. RefSeq lists it as uncharacterized. NCBI's taxonomy places the organism in Eukaryota, Metazoa, Chordata, Mammalia, Rodentia, Chinchillidae. The record is from RefSeq and is a predicted model, not a curated record. The transcript has 2 exons.